RNAcentral lists this ribosomal RNA (497 nucleotides) under uncultured bacterium. RNAcentral's name for it is "partial 16S ribosomal RNA". It matches the Rfam family "Bacterial small subunit ribosomal RNA", at positions 28 to 507 of the family's 1533-position model. The record is from RNAcentral.
GAUGAACGCUGGCGGCGUGCCUAAUACAUGCAAGUCGAGCGAACGGACGAGAAGCUUGCUUCUCUGAUGUUAGCGGCGGACGGGUGAGUAACACGUGGAUAACCUACCUAUAAGACUGGGAUAACUUCGGGAAACCGGAGCUAAUACCGGAUAAUAUUUUGAACCGCAUGGUUCAAAAGUGAAAGACGGUCUUGCUGUCACUUAUAGAUGGAUCCGCGCUGCAUUAGCUAGUUGGUAAGGUAACGGCUUACCAAGGCGACGAUGCAUAGCUGACCUGAGAGGAUGAUCAGCCACACGGGAACUGAGACACGGACCAGACUCCUACGGGAGGCAGCAGUGGGGAAUAUUGGACAAUGGGCGAAAGCCUGAUCCCGCAAGACCGCGUGGGUGAAGAAGGCCUUCGGGUUGUAAAGCCCUUUUGUUGGGAAAGAAAAGCAGCAGGUUAAUACCCCGCUGUUCUGACGGUACACAAAGAAUAAGCACCGGCUAACUUCGUG